GAUGGGCAUGCGUUGUAUUAGCUAGUUGGUGAGGUAACGGCUCACCAAGGCAACGAUACAUAGGGGGACUGAGAGGUUAACCCCCCACAUUGGUACUGAGACACGGACCAAACUCCUACGGGAGGCAGCAGUGAGGAAUAUUGGUCAAUGGACGCAAGUCUGAACCAGCCAUGCCGCGUGCAGGAAGACGGCUCUAUGAGUUGUAAACUGCUUUUGUACUAGGGUAAACGCUUCUACGUGUAGGAGCCUGAAAGUAUAGUACGAAUAAGGAUCGGCUAACUCCGUGCCAGCAGCCGCGGUAAUACGGAGGAUCCAAGCGUUAUCCGGAUUUAUUGGGUUUAAAGGGUGCGUAGGCGGUUUGAUAAGUUAGAGGUGAAAUACCGGGGCUCAACUCCGGAACUGCCUCUAAUACUGUUGAACUAGAGAGUAGUUGCGGUAGGCGGAAUGUAUGGUGUAGCGGUGAAAUGCUUAGAGAUCAUACAGAACACCGAUUGCGAAGGCAGCUUACCAAACUAUAUCUGACGUUGAGGCACGAAAGCGUGGGGAGCAAACAGGAUUAGAUACCCUGGUAGUCCACGCAGUAAACGAUGAUAACUCGUUGUCGGCGAUACACAGUCGGUGACUA
RNAcentral lists this ribosomal RNA (625 nucleotides) under uncultured bacterium. Its description in RNAcentral is "bacterial SSU rRNA". It matches the Rfam family "Bacterial small subunit ribosomal RNA", at positions 224 to 849 of the family's 1533-position model. The record is from RNAcentral.